This 874-nucleotide long non-coding RNA is filed under the name Homo sapiens (human). RNAcentral describes it as "PREDICTED lncRNA (TCONS_00244381)". Lineage: Eukaryota; Metazoa; Chordata; Mammalia; Primates; Hominidae. The record is from RNAcentral.
AGCUGUGCGACCUUGCCAUUGUACUUCUCCAAAGCUAGUGUCUUCACCGCUCUGCAAAAUAUGGCAAAGUCAACGGUAGCUCUCAUCACCACUGGAGAAGAGAGAGAUUCGUGUUGACAAGUCCUUGUUGUCCAGACUCACACGGAUACAGCUGUGGGGAAGGAAGGAAGGCUGCAAUGCUGCUGUUUCCAUGAACAUGCCUGGCACCCUCCAGGUGUCAGCAGGGCCAGGGGAGUGGAGAACUGGUCUCCCUCUCCGCUCCUCUACAGAACACAGUAGUGUGAGGAUUCUGUACAGGUUUUGUUGGGAAAGAAAGGAGUAAAAAGGGACUUGGGACGGAAAAUGUUUCCUCCUUUUCAAAUAAAUUGUGCAUCAGGAUGUAGAGAGAGUGGAAGAGGGAGUUCAGAGGCACCAGGUGACCAAACGUAAGAGAAAAGAACAGUCCAGGUGUGGUGGCUCACACCUGUAAUCCCAGCACUUUAGGAGGCUGAGGCGGGUGGUUCAUCUGAGGUCAGGAGUUCAAGACCAGCUUGGUCAACAUGGUGAAACCCCAUCUCUACAAAAAUACAGAAAUUAGUCAUACGUGGUGGUGGGUGCCUGUAAUCCCAGCUACUCGGGAGGCUGAGGUGGGGGAAUCGCUUGAACCCGGGAGGCGGAGGUUGCAGUGAGCCCAGUGCACUCCAGCCUGGAUGACAGAGCGAGACUCCGUCUCAAAAAAAAAAAAAAAAAAAAAAUCAGAUGACCCGCUGUGGAGCUGACUCUGUUCCCAAACCAGGAUUUUCAUCAAGCUAAAAAUCUAGGCUGGGCUGGGUGGCUCCAACCUGUAACCCCAGCACUUUGGGAGGCCGAGGUGGGCAGACUGUUUGAGCUUGGG